This is a long non-coding RNA of Onychostoma macrolepis, 796 nucleotides long. RefSeq lists it as uncharacterized. Lineage: Eukaryota; Metazoa; Chordata; Actinopteri; Cypriniformes; Cyprinidae. The transcript has 6 exons. The record is from RefSeq and is a predicted model, not a curated record.
AGUAGGCGGAGAUAACAGCGCAGGCUCCGACGUCACAAGCCAAAAACUCCGGUUUUGCUGUCUACACGAUAACACUGCAACCGGAGUUUUGAAAAUGUUCGGUUUCAGUGACCUGCUGCAGCGCUUGCGUGAGGACGAACGGCCAAACCGCAUAGAAAAAGCUGCUGUUUUGAAAAUAACCGCGUUCGUGUGGACGGCCAAUGAGCGCGCGCGUUGAGCAUUCAAAUCGCAUUUAAACUGAAGCUGAGGAGGUUACCAUGGUAACAGGGCGUCAACUCACUCAGCUGACAAGUAGCAAGAGGCUGUCUCUCUGCUGUCUUCACGAGUGGUAUAACUUAGUGUCUUCAAAAAGACCGUUAGCAUCAGAGGCUAACAAUUAGAGGAGUGUCAGAAUAAAAUACCUAAAACAGGGGAAGUUACAAAACAAUUUGUAAUGGGAGCUGCUGACAGAGAUGCAGGAAACACAGAGCUGGAGCGGAGCGGAUCUCCUGUCGAAGAACAUCUCCAAAGCGCCAUGAACUGUCUGACUAGGAAAUGCAGAAGAUCCUGACUGCAGCUACAAUCAACAGAGAUCCAGCAGCAGCAGCAGCAGCAGCAGAUACCGGUACAAUCAGUGAUUCAGAUACUGGAGAAUCUAAAGGAGACAGUCAUUAGUCUGUAGGUGUUGUUAUCCUGAUAUUCCACAUCCAGAGGUAGAGAGAGACUGAUGCUGAGAUCAGACACACUGAUGCUGGACAAUAAACUGUGUCCUCUGAACCAGGAGACACUCACAUGACUCACAUUCACAGCUGAACAC